CCCCUUGAACCGACAGCCCGGACAGCCUAGAUCAUGCCCUGUCAGCUUGCUGACUAUGGUGAUAAACGGCGCGUGGAAUAAUCGUUGUGGACCCGGGGGCAGUGCCCGGCGCCUCCACCAUCCAUCCCGGACUAUCGGGAUAUAUGGGGGCGAAACAGGCUCGACACGCGUGGUAAAGACUCGCCUUUUGCCCGGCAUGAUACCGCCGUUAUCGGGUCAAAUCACAAGUGCCAACGAUAAUCAGGCGCUCGCCGUCGCUGCAUAAGCGAUAGGCGCGGUUCGGGGGGGCACCGGGCAACAGAAGCCCCCCCAAU
Molecule: transfer-messenger RNA, 314 nt
Filed under: Acetobacteraceae bacterium
Lineage: Bacteria; Pseudomonadati; Pseudomonadota; Alphaproteobacteria; Acetobacterales; Acetobacteraceae
Rfam family: Alphaproteobacteria transfer-messenger RNA
About the family: Bacterial tmRNA, also known as 10Sa RNA or SsrA, is named for its dual tRNA and mRNA-like properties.
Source: RNAcentral